UCAAGUAAUUAAGUGCAUGUGGUGGAUGCCUUGGCAGUCAGAGGCGAUGAAAGACGUAAUAGCCUGCGAUAAGCUUCGGGGAGGCGGCAAAUAUCCUAUGAUCCGGAGAUUUCUGAAUGGGGAAACCCACCUAUCGUAAGGUAGGUAUCGCAACAUGAAUACAUAGUGUUGCGAGGCAAACGAGGGGAAGUGAAACAUCUCAGUACCCUUAGGAAAAGAAAUCAAUUGAGAUUCCCUCAGUAGCGGCGAGCGAACGGGGAACAGCCCAUUAAGUCAUAUAAGUUCUAGUGGAAUGCUCUGGGAAGUGCAACCAUAGUGGGUGAUAGUCCUGUACACGAAAGGGCUUAUAUGAUGAUGUCGAGUAGGGCGAGGCACGUGAAACCUUGUCUGAAUAUGGGGGGACCAUCCUCCAAGGCUAAAUACUCCUGACUGACCGAUAGUGAACCAGUACCGUGAGGGAAAGGCGAAAAGAACCCCUGUGAGGGGAGUGAAAUAGAUCCUGAAACCGCAUGCAUACAAGCAGUGGGAGCCGACUUGUUCGGUGACUGCGUACCUUUUGUAUAAUGGGUCAGCGACUUACAUUCAGUAGCAAGGUUAACCGUAUAGGGGAGCCGUAGGGAAACCGAGUCUUAAUAGGGCGUUUAGUUGCUGGGUGUAGACCCGAAACCAGGUGAUCUAUCCAUGAGCAGGUUGAAGGUUGGGUAACACUAACUGGAGGACCGAACCCACUGUCGUUGAAAAGCCAGGGGAUGACUUGUGGAUAGGGGUGAAAGGCUAAUCAAACUUGGUGAUAGCUGGUUCUCCCCGAAAGCUAUUUAGGUAGCGCCUCGGACGAAUACCAUUGGGGGUAGAGCACUGUUUCGGCUAGGGGGUCAUCCCGACUUACCAAACCGAUGCAAACUCCGAAUACCAAUGAGUACUAUCCGGGAGACAGACUGCGGGUGCUAACGUCCGUAGUCAAGAGGAAAACAAUCCAGACCGCCAGCUAAGGCCCCUAAAUUAUAGUUAAGUGGGAAACGAUGUGGGAAGGCAUAGACAGCUAGGAGGUUGGCUUAGAAGCAGCCACCCUUUAAAGAAAGCGUAAUAGCUCACUAGUCGAGUCGGCCUGCGCGGAAGAUGUAACGGGGCUAAAACUAUAUGCCGAAGCUGCGGAUUUGCAAUUUAUUGCAAGUGGUAGGGGAGCGUUCUGUAAGCCGAUGAAGGUGGAUUGAGAAGUCUGCUGGAGGUAUCAGAAGUGCGAAUGCUGACGUGAGUAACGACAAAACGGGUGAAAAACCCGUUCGCUGAAAGACCAAGGGUUCCAGUCCAACGUUAAUCGGGGCUGGGUGAGUCGACCCCUAAGGCGAGGCCGAGAGGCGUAGUCGAUGGGAAAUUGGUUAAUAUUCCAAUACUUCUGUGUAAUGCGAUGAGAGGACGGAGUAAGUUAAGUCAGCCUGGCGUUGGUUGUCCAGGUGAAAGGAUGUAGGCAUGUAUCUUAGGCAAAUCCGGGGUACUCUAUGCUGAGAUCUGAUAGCAAGCUGUACUUGUACAGUGAAGUGGCUGAUACUAUGCUUCCAGGAAAAGUCUCUAAGCUUCAGUUACACAGGAAUCGUACCCGAAACCGACACAGGUGGUCAGGUCGAGUAGACCAAAGCGCUUGAGAGAACUCUGCUGAAGGAACUAGGCAAAAUGGUACCGUAACUUCGGGAGAAGGUACGCUGCUGACGGUGAUGGAACUUGCUUCCUGAGCUAUCGGCAGCCACAGAAACCAGGCCCCUGCAACUGUUUAUUAAAAACAUAGCACUCUGCAAACACGAAAGUGGACGUAUAGGGUGUGAUGCCUGCCCGGUGCUGGAAGGUUAAUUGAUGGGGUUAGCGUAAGCGAAGCUCUUGAUCGAAGCCCCAGUAAACGGCGGCCGUAACUAUAACGGUCCUAAGGUAGCGAAAUUCCUUGUCGGGUAAGUUCCGACCUGCACGAAUGGCAUAAUGAUGGGGGCGCUGUCUCCAGCAGAGGCUCAGUGAAAUCGAAAUCGCCGUGAAGAUGCGGUGUACCCGCGGCUAGACGGAAAGACCCCGUGAACCUUU
This 2064-nucleotide ribosomal RNA is filed under the name human gut metagenome. Its description in RNAcentral is "bacterial LSU rRNA". It matches the Rfam family "Bacterial large subunit ribosomal RNA", at positions 3 to 2102 of the family's 2925-position model. The record is from RNAcentral.